This 322-nucleotide ribosomal RNA is filed under the name uncultured cyanobacterium. RNAcentral describes it as "bacterial SSU rRNA". It matches the Rfam family "Bacterial small subunit ribosomal RNA", at positions 28 to 351 of the family's 1533-position model. The record is from RNAcentral. Lineage: Bacteria; Bacillati; Cyanobacteriota.
GACUAACGCUGGCGGCGUGCCUAACACAUGCAAGUCGAACGGGGCCCUGGUUCGCCAGGGUUCAGUGGCAGACGGGUGAGUAACACGUAGGUAAUGUACCCUCUUGCUGGGGAUACCUGUCCGAAAGGAUAGUUAAUACCGAAUGAGCCAAACCUGGGGCAUCUUGGGGUUGGCAAACUGGCAACGGGCGAGAGGAUCAGCUUGCGGACCAUCAGCUAGUUGGUGAGGUAAUGGCUCACCAAGGCGACGACGGUUAGCCGGUUUGAGAGGACGAUCGGCCACACUGGGACUGAAACACGGCCCAGACUCCUACGGGUGGCUG